Molecule: long non-coding RNA, 15643 nt
Filed under: Triticum aestivum (bread wheat)
Lineage: Eukaryota; Viridiplantae; Streptophyta; Magnoliopsida; Poales; Poaceae
Description: long non-coding RNA (TAES_LNC007264)
Source: RNAcentral
UGAAAUCGGGGCGGGUUGACAAUACUUCACACGCCUUGGGCGCGUUGUUGCAGUCUGUUAGAUUUGAAGAACUGCCGUGUUUCAUUCCUGAGGAAUUUUGUCUUUGCUCGGUGUAGUGCCUGUCCGUUGAGCCACACUUCUCAGUAAUAAUUCAAGCUCUGAAAAUUCCGAACUUGAUUCAGCAUUCGUCUCUUCCGUUUCCCCCCAAAUUUUAAACUUGCUGUGGUGGUCUACUUUCCUUGGUUGAUGCCUGAAUUGGGUCCUCGAUUGGGCUAUAAUAUAUACAUCUGGAACUGCAAUGAACGGCUGACUGGUUGGCCACGUUGAAAAGCGUAGUGCUAGUGUGCGGCAGAUCGGCUGGCCACGUGGCAGAAGCGGAGAUUUACGUUUGUGCCACUUAUCCCCAUGAGAAUCGUCUCUUAUCUCCUCUCGUUUCCCUCGCGACGAAACAUGCAUCGGCGUCUACGUGCGUGGGGUAUUAGAUAGUGUCUCGCUCGAGAUCACAUCCUCACGGCCGCAGCGUCAACAAUGUCACCGUCGUCGUCGCUCUACUCCGGCCGUCUCCUCUCCUCCCGCCCGGCGUCCAAGGGGCUCGUACGUCGUCUCCUCAAUCACGAUGGGAGCAGGUGGGUCAGGCCGUCGUGCUCCCUGUCUAUGAACGGCUGCGCGGCCGGCGUGGGCGCGGUGACCAUGCACGAGACGCGGGUCCUGCCGGCCGCGUCGGCGCCGCAGGAGGCCGUCGGGCAGCUCAGGGCCGCCGUCGCCGCGCUCAACGCCGACCCGCCGGUGUCCUCCUCCGGCAUCAUCCGCAUCGAGGUAGCAAAAGCACAUGGUCUUCAAUGGCGAACUGCGUUUGAUCGUAUUCGUAUCUGGAUAAAAUGGGACGCGCGCGCACGCAGGUGCCGAUUCGGCAGCGAGGGGACGCCAUCGAGUGGCUGCACGCGCAGAGGCAGAGCUCCCUGCCCCGCUGCUUCUUCUCCGCCCGGGCGCCGCUGCCGGACACUCCGGCCCUCGCCGUGGGCAUCAGCAGCAACGGCAACGGCAGCCACAAGGAGCAGUGGGAGCAGCCGGUAAGCGUCGCCGGCGUGGGGUCGGCGGUCUUCUUCCGCGGCACGGACCCCUUCUCCCUCCGCGACUGGCGAGCCAUCAAGAGGUACGCAAAAACUCACUACCUACUCGAUCAGCUACUAUGUUUUUUCUGAAUUGGAUGAACUAUGAUAAAGCUUGGCUUAGAGUGCGUUUACGACGCUGUUCCUCCUCUUCUUUGUCCGUGAAGAUUUCUUUCAAGGGACUGCCCGCUGAUCCGCGCCUACGGCGCCAUCCGUUUCGACGCGUCGAGCGACGCCUCGGUCGAAUGGGAAGACUACGGCGCAUUCUACUUCGUCGUUCCACAAGUAAGUCGAUCCGCAACUGGUGACAGUUUCAUUCUGCAUGAUGAAUGCAAUGUGCAUGUGUACUGCCUUAUUUCAAGUGUGUGUGAUGUAAAAAUGUACUGCAUUGCAGGUUGAGUUCAGCGAGCUCGAGGAGGGCUCGGUUCUCGCGACGACGAUUGCGUGGGACGACUCCCUUUCUUGGACAUGGCAGAGCGCUGUGGAGGAGCUUCAAUCGACAUUGCACGAGGCAUGGCAUUUUGUUUCCCUGCAUUCUCAUGUGGAAGAUAGUAAGUUAGCAACCGCUAAUUUGAACUUGUAUGCAGAUAUCACCCUGUUCAGUUAAGGUGAACAGGUCCACCCUGCAAACCGCCAUCGUAAAUCUCAAUCAUGUCCCCACCAAGGCGUCCUGGGAUCUUGCUGUUACUCAAGCUCUUCGGAUGAUCAAAGGGAGCCAGACGGAAUUAGUCAAGGUAAACCAUUCAUCGCGUCACUGUCUGCCAAAACAAAAACUAGACGAGUAAUUUUCUUUACCUGUCUUUUUGUGAGUAUAGAGAGGUUUAGUUCAACCAAUCUCUUCCAAUCCUGAUAUUUGUAUGAAUGCUAGAAUUUUUCAGUUAGUUACUAAAAAAACACUUAUUUUCCAUUUUUGUUUUCGACAUAUAUUGAACUUGCCAAUGAACUAUUUCUGCAGGUUGUGCUGGCAAGGUGCAGCAGGUACAUCACUGAUACUUGCAUCGACCCUCUGGAGCUGUUAGCUUGUCUGAAGGUAUGUCGUAUUAUUGUCCUCUCCCUUCAUGAUGUACUCAUAUCAUCUUGUUUACGAGAAGAUCAUUCUGCGACUCUUGUAUGUAUAGGUUGAGGGCCAGAAUGCCUACCAGUUCUGCAUACAGCCACCCGAUGCUCCUGCAUUUGUUGGAAAUAGUGUAUGUCUUCUGCGAUGCACUUUCUUUUCUUCCUGAUAUACCUGACCUUCAGAGUCCUGUUUAGAAACAGGUCUUACUUAUGCCUUGUGCAUUGUUUAUCUCUAUAUUUGCUCUAGCACUGUUAAAUAACUCUCUUCUAACUAUUGCUAAUUUCAUCCAAACAUUCUGAAUAGCCAGAGCAACUAUUUCACCGGAAAUACUUGAACAUUUCCAGCGAGGCUUUAGCCGGUACGCGAGCAAGAGGGAAAACAAGGGCUGAUGAUUUUCAAAUUGGCCAGGAAUUGCUUCUAAGGUUUGUUUCCCCUCUUUGUGCUUGUAAUCAUAAGAUUGACAUAUUUCUGAAAUUUUACGGAGAUAUCGGCACCUUGUACGAAGACCAGACUGGUCAGUAAUGUAAAUAAUUCUUGCAGCAUCAAAGAGGACACUGAAUUUACUAUAGUACGGGAAAGCAUAAAGAAGAAGCUUGAGGCAAGUUAAGUUUCAGAGUCCAAUUUCAGAUAUGAUCCUGGACUAGUUUGCGUUGCUCUUGGUACUCAGCAGUAAUGCUUUUCAGAAAACAAAAUAUGGUGACUGUAAUUUUUGCUGAACCAGUGGAUCUGAUCUAAUCUGCAGAUGAUCUGUGAUGAGGUUGUUGUCAAUCCCAGUAAGGCCCUUCGGAAACUUCCAAGAGUACAACAUUUGUCAGCUCAAUUAGCUGCAAGAUUAAGAAAUGAGGACGACGAGGUAAUCUGUGGUUUGAACAUUCUCUGUCACUUGGACAUGUAGGUAUCAUUUGAAUUUUCUUUUGCCCUGGAUUGUUGGAGACAUCGACUAGUGUUCAUAUAAUAGACUUGAUACUUCGUGCUGGUAUUUGCAGUUUGACAUCCUAAAUGCUCUUCAUCCAAGCCCAGCUGUUUGUGGUUUGCCCACUGAAGAAGCGCGCCAAUUCAUACGAGAUUAUGGUGUGUGCCUGUAUUCUGGCUGAAAUGUUAUCUAUGAACGCAUAUGCACUAUUGUGUUCUGUAUUUAGUACGCAACCUAUUGAUGGUGAUCUCUGAAUGCUAUUUUCUGAUGUUGCUGCAGAAAUUUUCGACCGUGGAAUGUACGCUGGACCUGUUGGUUGGUUUGGUGGAGCUGAAAGUGAGUUUGCUGUUGGAAUUAGAUCAGCACUACUUGGAAAAGUAAAUAAAACACAUGUCAUCAAUAUUUGUGUAAACCUUACCUUCUUAACCUAUCCUAAUUUAGAAGCAUAAGUCACCUAGCUGUCUUGUCCAGGGAUAUAGCACUUUAGUUUAUGCCGGUGCCGGGAUUGUCGAAGGUACAAAUCCAUCUUUUGAAUGGGAUGAGCUUGAUCUCAAAGCAUCUCAGGUAGUCUCUGUCCAAUGUCAUGACUGUUAUUACUGACUUCUAUUUGAAAUGCUAACACGUUAGAUCUUACGACUAUUUUCAGUUUGCAAAGUUGUUGCAGUAUCAAGAACAUCAUAUUUGCUACCAAGAGGCAGGAAACAUGGGGACAUUGAUUUGAACUGUAACUAGUAAGUCAUCAGAGAUUACAAUGCUUAGAAAGAGGUGGGAAAUUACGUUAUCUCAAUUAUAUAGAAUGUCUACAACUUCAGUUUGUAUCUGACAUUGGAAUGCCCGAUGUGUUUAUUUUGAACUCCUUCUACAGGGAAGUUUUGAUUUGGUGGGAAGAUUCCAAAUGGAGUUCAUAUCUGUUUGUGUGCGUGCGUUGUAAACUUCGAAAGAUUUCAGCCUGAUUUGCAUGGCUCUUGAAGAUGCAAUCACAGAAAUAUCGAAAUAUCGAUUCGAGGAGAUGACAGUGAUGAUAGUCGUGGAGCGUACAAAAGAUUAAAUAAAAGCAUAUUAAAUAAUUAUGUACAAUGAUUGUAACAAGUCAGUUUAGUGCAAAGUGUAUAUUACACGAUGAGUUUUUUUAUCCACGCACCCCAGGGAUGGGGAUGGGCAUCGGGAUGGUGUCACGGGUGUGUGGAUCAUAUUAUAGCAAAUCUCAACUGGGUAUUCCCCAUUGUCACUUUGAGUCUAGAUGGACCACAAUCUGAGUACUACUAUUAUUGACUCCCUCGCACGGUCUUCUUGUUCAUCAAAUGGAUGUUAAGAUAACUUUCCUAAAUGGAGAGUCAGAGAAGAAAAUUUACAUGGAACAAAAGAUGGAUUUGUAGUAUCGGGUCAGGAAAGGAAGAUCUGCAAUUUACUGAAAUCUUUGCAUGGCCUAAAACUAGCACAUAAGCAAUGACACCAGAAAUUUAUCAAAACUUUAAAUUUCAUAGACUUUGUUGUCAAUGAAGACAAAAAAUGUGUUUGCUACCGUUAUGGUGGAGGCAAGGGAGUGAUCAUUUGCUUGUACGUUGAUGCAUACUAAUCUUUAGCACCAGGGGAUCUGUGAAGUAGGACCUCGGAAAACAAACCUUUGCAGUUGGAGAGAACAUUUCCUAAAAUCACUCAUUUGAACAUGUAGUUCUCUCACGGAUAUAGUAAGGCGGACUUAUUAUUCUUAAUGUGCUCUAUUACUUGUGUACGCGAAGAUGUUGCCUUACAGGACUGUCUUUGAAAAAACAAACCUUUAUGAGCUAGUUGCCGGUCACACUCUAUGAUAUUAGGUAAUAUCUAGUAAGCUCAUGAAAGGCCAGGAGUACGACUUAUGUUGCUGGUCACACUCUAUUUCAAAUGGAGUACACGUUCACUCACUAACUCGACUUACCACGCCACACAUGGUGCGCACGUCGUGUUUCACGAGUCAAAUUCGAGUUUGAGCUAAGAGCAGUUUUAACAUGCUCCCUCUUACGUCAUCUUUUCACAUGAGAGGUAAGAGUACAUAUUAGAUCUGAGCCGUUGAUCUCAUUAAUUAGUGAUCCGAUUAACUCUUACCUUCUUACCGCACAUGUAAAAAGAAGGGGUAAGAGGGAGCAUGUUAAAUUUUGCCUUGAGCUAAUAUUAUGCACUAUGUUUGAAGAACUAAAAUUUUGCUUGGCAGUGCAUUGCUAAGGAAGCUUCGGGUGUACAUGUCAACACUCAGCUCGUUGUGGGCACAUUUUUUUGCUUUCAGAGAUUUCUUCCGCCAUGUGUUAGUUGCAUCUCCCCAGUCUUCCAUGCAUUGAAGGUCAGAACUACCAAAUCAUCAUAACGGUAAUCUAAUGCAAUAUGACCAAACAACAUAAACUGGUUGGUCUAUUCAACUUGAUAUUCCAACCAUUUUAGAUAUGGAAAGCUAUUUCCAAAUUCUUGAUAAGGAAAGGUAGUACGUAUGUGUACCUUGGCCAUUUGUCCUGUCUAAGAAAGCAUGUAGUUUCAAUGUUGUUCUGUAAUACAUCAUUCCAUGAACAAACAUUACAGUUGUAUUAGGGCAAACUCACUGCCGGUUGCUUGAAAACCCUUGUCAAGACCGAGUUCUAUCACCAUAGGCAACCUCGUAAGCUAGUGGCGGAGCUACAUGCAUUGUUGAGGGGGAGGGGGCCAAUGCCCCCCCACCCUAGGAUAUUUAGUGAAUAAAAAAGUAGAGGCUUAGAUUAAUAAGAUUGUAGUCAUCCUCCCCCCCCCCCCAAAGAUUUAUAUUUUCUCUUUUCCUCCCCCUUGUUUAUCUCCUAGCUUUGCCCCUGACGGAAGCAAUCCAAUUUGGACGAAUGACUGGGAUGCAAGGGAACUUUCUAACGACUUCAUAUUCUUAGCCUUUGCUUUCAGUAGGAUACCUUCAUGUAGCCCACCAAGGACCAAAUACAACUGCCCACAGAGGAAAAAUAUAAACACCUUUGAUAACUGCAUAAAAUAUGGACCCGUUAGAAUAAUAGGACUCGUCAUUGGUACUAAACAAAAAAUACUUCCACAAAAAAGAUUGGAUUUGACCAAGGUGAAGUUACAAUGCAAGCGUGCAAGAGAGAGAGAGAGAGGGAUGGAGAAAACAUAUUAGGCCAUUGAACUAGAGCUCCACUGCGAUGAAAUAACAGAAGAACAUCCGACGAUGAUCAGUCCUUGCCCUAGGCGGUAUAUUUCACGCCUGACUGUCUGUUCACCAUUGCCAUUUCCUUUGGCUUCAACUAUUGAUAUCCGAUUAAGACUAACAUCAUGCCCUUUGCCAAUCUUAUUAACCCUUGUCAAGACCGAGUUCUAUCACCAUAGGCAACCUCUAAGCCAGUGGCGGAGGUACAUGCAUUGUUGAGGGGGAGAGGGCCAAUGCCCCCCCCCCCCCAGGAUAUUUAGUGAAUAAAAAAGUAGAGGCUUAGAUUAAUAANNNNNNNNNNNNNNNNNNNNNNNNNNNNNNNNNNNNNNNNNNNNNNNNNNNNNNNNNNNNNNNNNNNNNNNNNNNNNNNNNNNNNNNNNNNNNUGCCUCCCCCCUUGUUUCUCUCCUAGCUUUGCCCCUGAUGGAAGCAAUCCAAUUUGGAUGAAAGAUUGGGAUGCAAGGGAACUUUCUAACGACAUCAUAUUCUUAGCCUUUGCUUUAAGUAGGAUACUUUCAUGUAGCCCACUAAGGACCAAAUACAACUGCCCACAGAGGAAAAUAUAAACACCUUCGAUAACUGCAUAAAAUAUGGACCCGUUAGAAUAAUAGGACUCGUCAUUGGUACUAAACAAAAAAAAACAUCCACAAAAAAUAUUGGAUUUGACCAAGGUGAAGUUACAAUGCAAGCGUGCAAGAGAGAGGGAGGGAUGGAGAAAACAUAUUAGGCCGUUGAACUAGAGCUCCACUGUGGUGAAAUAACAGAAGAGCAUCCGGCAAAGAUCAAAUCCUUGCCCUAGGCGGUAUAUUUCACGCCAGACUGUCUGUUCACCAUUGCCAUUUGCUUUGGCUUCAACUAUUGAUAUCUGAUUAAGACUAACAUCAUGCCCUUUGCCAAUUUGAAUAUACUCAUUGUAAAUUAUAUUUCCGCGACGCAAUAUGGAAUUAUAACCUGUAAAGUUAAUGUUAAGGCACAAUUUCGUUCAAAAUGACAUGAAUUUAUUAUUUCCAACAGAACAAAUAUUUAAAUUACCAGCAAAUGCAUCCUUGCUUAAGUUUAUGGUUUUAGAGGCUUUCCUUAUACCACCUCUUGUCAAAUGAAAGAUCCGGAUGACCAUAGUGAAUCGUACUCUGCAACCAUUUUGGAUCUUUUAGUACAUUACAUAAACAUACUAUCAAUUCUUCGGUAAAGAUAUACACGGUAUUUAAUAGUACUAUAUGACACCCUAACAUUCAUAAAACGAGAACAACAGAGCGUCGGAAAUUAGUUUGUGCCAUCUAUGAUGAGAAGCAUACUUUCACCUAAUGGGAUCAACGAGGAAUCUAUGUCAAUUGUAACAAAGGUUGUUUCUUAGUAUGACAUGAAUCCAGCAACCGAAAUAUAUUGCAACGGGUUUCCGGAACAACACGCGGGGUAUCAUCUACUCCCUCUGUCCCAUAAUAUAAGAGCGUUUUUUUACACUAGUAUAGUGCCAAAACAUAGUUAAUUAGGGAAGUUGAGCAUGGCCCUAAUGCCAUUAGCAAUGAAGAAAUUAUUUUGGCCAUGGACGAUGCUGAUUCUGGUUUUAUGGCUGCAUUUUAUUCCGUGUGAAUGUGUGAUAUCAAAAAAAGAAGAAGAAGGCAGACAGUAGUUUGAUCUACAUAAAUUCUACACGGGUAAACGUUGGAAUCACAACACGAGAGCAAGAACAGAUCAUUGAGCCAAUUAUUGAGGCCUUAAACUUCACGGACCACACAAUUUUUUCCACGCACUUAUCGCCUUGCUGCCAUCACAAGAUGCUACGGUCCAUUGCUGCAACAGUGUUCCCAAGUUUUAGCCAGGCAACCAGUCCAAUCCCACAGAUAUCGUGCCAAAAACCAAAUCUGAGAAUAGUCAUCUGAAUGAACCGACUAAUGUUGAUUGAUGCGACGAUAAAAACCAAUAAAAAAUAUCAUAAUCAGAAGAAGAAAACAAUCUACUUCAUCAGCAUUAACACCUCGUGCUAUGUCAUCAAUCAACCCGCUUCAUCGAUCCGCCGUCGAGCAGCAGCCAGCGUAUAUAUGUAGCUCGGUUCCUCAGCACCAACUCAUCAGCAAACCCGUGACUGCGAAGAAGAAAAAGAAGAAGAAAGAGUGAGGGAGGUAUCAACUGAAGCUCUUGGAGUGAAAUGGCUACCGCCGGGAAGGUGAUCAAGUGCAAAGGUUGGUUCCUGAACCAUUAAGUUUCCUAUUCAUCUCAGUCUGUGUGAAGAAAUUCCUGGAAUGGGUGGAUGGGAUGAAAUUAACAAGGGAGGGCGUAUAGUUAAUUUGGUUGGUGCUGGCAGCGGCGGUGGCGUGGGAGGCCGGGAAGCCGCUGUCGAUGGAGGAGGUGGAGGUGGCGCCGCCGCAGGCCAUGGAGGUGCGCGUCAAGAUCCUCUACACCGCCCUCUGCCACACCGACGUCUACUUCUGGGAGGCCAAGGUACAUAUCUUAUCCAAAACAUCUCAUAGUGUACCAAUUUUGUGUUUUCCAGAUUACUUUAUCUGGAUGAAUGGAUGAGUUGGUGAUGCGCUGCUUGGAUCUUGGCAGGGCCAAACUCGGCAAAUUUGACCAUUUUGACCUACGGACGAAAUCAAUUCACGGAAUGAACUGAUCGUGAAACUAUUUCACAGCCCUAACCUUUUUGUGUAGCGCCCGCCACGACGGCGCCACACCCUACUGUGCAGCGCCUAGCACGGGGACGUUGCACACCAGUCCACCGUGGCAGCCCCUGGGCCCGCACACAGCAGUGCAACGCCUUCGUGCUAGGCGCCACACAUGUAAUGUGCAGCGCCCAGCCCAUAGGCGCCACACUUGUAAAGUGCAGCGCCUAGCGCGUAGGCGCUGCACUGUGACUUAUCCAGCCACUUGGCUGCCCCCCCUCCCCCACCCCCACACCACACACUCUCCCACUCUCCUCCCCGAGCUUUGCCCCCUCUCCCACUCUCUCCCCCUCUCAAAUCCUCUCCCAAAUCUUGCAAAUUUGAAGAAUUUGUCCGUGGAUUUCGAAGUCAAACCCUCCCUCAAGGUAAUAUUCUCCGAUCCCCUUGUUUUGAUUCAAGUAAAGUUCCCAUUGCUCAUUUGUUGCUAGUUUGGGGAAACCCUAGUUUUGUUUGGAUCUAGAGAUUUGCAUGGAAAUGUGAGAUGUUUGUUUACCAAUUUCUAUGGUUAGGCUUUGUUAGUAUGCUAGGGUUAUUCUUAUGGGUGUUCUUAUGUUGGUGCUAGGGUUAGGUUUAGGGCUAGGGUUAUGGUUAUGGUUAUGGUUAUGGUUAUGGUUGUUGUUUGAUAUAUAUAUUAGGGUUUCUAUUCCGUGUUAAUUCUUGUAUUAGUACUCAUGGAAGCAAUGUUACCUUGUGUUAUUGGAAUGCUUAUAGGGAUGGGAAGAACAUGUGUGUUUGUUCAUCAUGGGGACAAGGACGCCUUUUUGAAAGGCAAUGUAGAACCGGACCCGGAUGAGGUUGACAUGGUGUUUGAUAGUAGUCCUAGCUAUGCGGAGCUCUUGCAACAAGUUAGGGAAGAUUUGAAUUGGACGGACCCUAGUGAUAUCAUAGAGUUGGAGGGAAGGCAUAAUGUUGGUUUUGGAAUGCACAUCCGUUGGAAGACAAUGCGUGUCAACUCGGAGCAACGUUGGGUUGCAUACAAGGAGACGGUGGCCGAAUCACUAGACAAGGCUCUUGAGUUAUUUGCAACGAAGAAGGUUGGUUCAAGUUUGCAUUUGGACUUGAACCGGAACCCCUCCCCUUUGGUUGCUAGUAGCCCCACACCCUUGAAGCGAGAUGAACUUGUUGAACCUCUUUUGACCCAAGAAGUGAGGCCAACAUGAGCCCGUUUACAAACAACCAAGAUGAAGCUUUGCAAGAGGACAAUGAUGAGUAUGCGGACGAUGACAAUGAAGUUGAUCUCCAUGACAACAAUGUGGGUGAUCUCGACAAAUAUCACUUGCAAGAGACAAUGGAUCCUUCCAUCCCUUUUUCCCGUGCAUAUGCAUUGGACUCGGAUGACGAUGGUCCCGAUGAACAAGUGGAUGCGGAGGGGUUCACGGUGAAGGAGGCCGAAGCUUUCGAGAAGGUAUUUGGUCGGGAUCAUCGGACUACAUUGUUCAAGGAUGUUAGUCUCGCGGAUGAAGCCGUGGUAGAUGGUGGCAAUGUGUACCUCUUGGGGUUAGGCCAAGCUCUCAUCGUGAUUUGGGAGACGACAAGAACCGCAUUGCUAAAGGUUCUAAGUUUGACACCUUCUUAUGCAAUGUCGAGUUACGAUGGAAGCAUGAUAAUAACUUAUGCAAUGUCAAUUCACCUGCUCAGGCGUGAUCGCGUCCAUCUCGCUCCUGUACAGCUUGUACAUGACCGAGGGAUCAUCCGUCAUCUCAUUUAACACAUCCCACUUGUAAGCCCAAGUGGGGAGCCGUAGUGGAUCGUCUUUCUCGUCCCAAUCCUCGAACUUCACGGUCUUCGGUCGUCCAACCGGCAAACGCUCCCAGCUCCAUAUGGAAAGUGCGAGCAAACAACCACCAAUACCUCCAGAUAGCCUACAACAGGCUUCGUCCAACUGCACAUAAAAGAGAACAUGGUUGAAUUAACAGCAACAUCGCAUUCAUAAUGUACCAAUGAAUUAAAACAGAAACAACUUCAUACCUGUCUAUACAAGUAAGCCAGUGUCGCCGAACCCCAACUCCAUUUGCUAUCGAAGACGGUCAACGCCUUGAGCCACAUCCAUGGAGCAUUCUUGCCUGUGCCAUCAGCAAACAUACUCCUGGAUAUCACGUACCACAUGUAGACACGAGCAUAUGUCUUCACCGUGUCCUCAUUAGCAUCCUCAGGGCAAUUACUGAAGUUCGAUACAAUCCACGUGAAAGUAGCACCGGCUGCGACUCUUUCCUUCUUCUUGCCUUCUACUUCUGGUUCGCGCGGCUCCGGAGGAACCAUACCGAUAAGGGCAAGCAUUUGCUCGCGCCACCCAUCAGAAUCGGUGCUCAUACAUAGAGGAUUCCCAUCGAUAGGAAAACCGGUGAUCAUAGCUAUAUCCUGGAGCGUCACGGUCAUCUCCCCGGUCCGAAGAUGGAAAGUGUGUGUCUCCGGCCUCCAAUGAUCAAUAAGCGCGGUGAGUGCUGGAGGAUUGUUGGGUGGCGUCGACCUGCUGACCAACUGAAUGAAAGAGAGAAGUCUUGUCUCCCUAACAUACGGGGUGUACCGCUCAUCAUAGCGCAUCCACCCAAGGUUGACCCCGUGAGCCCGAAGCUUCAGAGGUGCAAGCUCCUACAAGCAAACAAACAAAUCAUUACAUAUGGGGGGUAUGUGUUUGAAAAAAAACACGAAAUUCAUAACACCGACAACUUUCAUUAUUACCUGCUGCUUCACCGACAUAGCGUACGACCGGUGUUGUAGAUCCCAAUGAUCAUUGAGAAGCCAAACCAUCCUAGCAAUUUGCAAGAAAGCUUUCUUGUCAACACGAUUAUCUUUUGAAUACAAAAAAACUAAAGUAGGCCUACUAGAUGCAACCAUACCAAUCUAUGUAUCCAACCAUAUCAAAUCAAACAUAACUAAUAAAAAAGGGUUCCACAAAUAACUAGGCCUACUUCAUACAAAUAACUUUUCCAUAAACUAUGCCUACUUCAUAAAAAUAACUCUUCCAUAAACUAAACUAGGGUUCCACAAAUCAAACAAACAAGGGUUCCCCAAAUCAAUCAAACAAGUCAAUACAUGCAAAGUUCUAAUACAUGCAAGAUUCAAAUCUAAUCUAAUCAAACAAGGAUUCCCCAAAUCUUCAAAAUAUCAUAUUUUCUAUGGAUAGAAAGAAGGGGAUCGGAAGAGAGUACCUUCUAGGAUGGAUUGGUGAAGAAAUGCACGGACCAAAUCGUCGGAUCUGAAGGAUUUGGGAGAGGGGAUUGAGAGGGGGAGAGGAGGAACCUGCCGCGCCGCUGCUUCUGUUACUUCAAAACCGAACGAAUGGGUGGGGUGGGGGAGGGGGAGCGGGCGGCUAGCGUCUAAGUCACCGUGCAGCGCCUACGGGCUGGGCGCUGCACAUUACAUGUGUGGCGCCUAGCACGGAGGCAUUGCACUGCUGGGUGCGGGUCCAGGGGCUGUCACGGUGGACUGGUGUGCAACGCCCCCGUGCUAGGCGCUGCACAGUAGGGUGUGGCGCCGUCGUGGCGGGCGCUACACAAAAAGGUUAGGACUGUGAAAUAGUUUCACGGUCAGUUCAUUCCGUGAAUUGAUUUCGUCCGUAGGUCAAAAUGGUCAAAUUUGCCACCAAACUCCGGUUUUCCUUAGGAUCUUGGGCCAUGAAGCUGGAGGGUAUCCAUACUCACCUUUUGCCUCUCUCUUAGCCGCCCCCCCCCUCUCUUUCCCCUGUUUUAAGUUUUAAUAAUUGUUAAUCACUUCAUGGAAUCUAGCUUUGAAUCCUCACCUGAAAUAUGGUUUUAUUGGUGCAAUUAUAGUCAUCCUGAAUCCUACUAGUAUUUACCCCGAAAAUAAUAAUAAAAAGAAUCCUACUAGUAUUUGUCUGUACUUUUUUUAUUAGUACUCCCUCCAUUCCGAUUUACUCGUCGUGAUUUUAGUUUAAGAGGCAGUACUUUGCUGAAGUAACAUGUUUGUUCCCUCACAGCAUUGUGGAGAGUGUCGGUGAGGGCGUGACGGAGCUGGUGCCGGGCGACCAUGUCCUCCCGGUGUUCACCGGAGAGUGCAAGGAGUGUGCCCACUGCAUGUCAGAGGAGAGCAACCUCUGUGACCUCCUCAGGAUAAAUGUCGACUGUGGCGUGAUGAUCGGCGACGGGCAGUCCCGCUUCAGCAUCGACGGGAAACCCAUCUUCCACUUCGUCGGGACGUCCACCUUCAGUGAGUACACCGUGAUCCAUGUCGGGUGCCUUGCCAAGAUCGACCCCGAGGCGCCCCUCGACAAAGUCUGCCUCCUUAGCUGUGGUAUCUCAACCGGUAAGAGUCUAUAUGUACUGAGCCGCCGACGAGUUCAACAUGUUUGGGACGCCUCGGCGAAUUGCUGAGAUUUCAUGUUUCCAAUUCAGGGCUUGGUGCGACCCUCAACGUCGCAAAGCCCAAGAAGGGCAUGACAGUGGCGGUUUUCGGUCUUGGAGCUGUAGGCCUCGCUGUAAGUGUUCCUCCACCAGAUAUUCUUUCAGGUCGAUCGAUGAGAAUUGUUCUAUGACCAUGACUAAUUACAGGCCAUGGAAGGGGCCAGGAUGUCCGGCGCAUCGAGGAUUAUCGGCGUGGACUUGAACCCUGCAAAACACCAACAAGGUACGCAUGAUAAUCUGCCGCUGCCAUGCCAUCGAUCUUCAGGAAGAAAAUUAAAACAAUCCAUCCAUCUUGGCAAAAUGUAUAUUUGUUAGCACCGGAGCAGACUGACUGAGCCUUGCAACCCCAUGCAUGUCCAUUGCUUUUCAGCUAAGAAAUUUGGCUGCACCGACUUUGUGAACCCCAAGGACCACGCCAAGCCAGUGCAAGAGGUACUUGUUCAUGACAUACGCGCACAAGAAGCUUGUGUCAAAUGAAAUGCUGAUGGUCCAAAAAUACGCCGCAGGUGAUCGUGGAGAUGACCGACGGCGGGGUCGACCGGGCCGUGGAGUGCACGGGCAACGCCGACGCCAUGAUCUCCGCCUUCGAAUGCGUGCACGAUGUACAUAUGAUGAUCACUUGCUCCUUCUUCUGCUGCUUGAAACUGAAUCCUGACACUAACACUAUGGCCUGAUGGACGGGAGCAGGGGUGGGGCGUGGCGGUGCUGGUGGGGGUGGCGCACAAGGAGGCGGUGUUCAAGACGCACCCCAUGAACUUCCUCAACGAGAGGACGCUGAGGGGCACCUUCUUCGGCAACUACAAGCCGCGCACCGGCCUCCCCGGGGUCGUGGACAUGUACAUGAGGAAGGAGCUGGAGCUGGACAAGUUCAUCACCCACAGCGUGCCCUUCUCGCAGAUCAACACGGCCUUCGACCUCAUGCUCAAGGGGGAAGGCCUGCGCUGCGUCAUCAGGAUGGAGGAGUAGAGGUAGAGCCCCUGGCUCUUCUUCAUCCCUCGCUGCUAUUGGACUACAACACACAUGUAUCAGCUUCUUUGCUACUUUUUUUUUGAAGUCAUGCCACUUAUAGGACUCCGAUUCAUUAAAUAAGCAGAAGAGGGUUGCUCGAUUAAUUUGCGAAAACUCGGCGAAAACCAUCACAACAUGCCCACAAAAGGGCACACCUGUUCAACCUCACUACCCACAAGACCCGCACUGUCGAGGACACGUACGCCUUUCUCUUACCGCCAGAAAGAAACCGCAUCGAAUCGCCAUCCUCCGACAACAAGAACUGCUUACUUCCUCCGUCCCAUAAUAUAAGAUGUUAAGAACAAAUUUGCAUCCUACAACAAAGACUGCUUGUUGCCUACUUCCUCCGUCCCAUAAUAUAAAAUGUUAAGAACAAAUUUGCAUCCUACAACAAGGACUGCUUGUUGCCUACUUCCUCCGUCCCAUAAUAUAAGAUGUUAAGAACAAAUUUGGAUAUAAGAUUCAGUUGGAUAUUUAUGCACCAUGCAGGAGAAGUGAGAACGAAUUUUGAUACAAGAUCCAGUUGGACAUUUACGUAACCAAUUGAUUUAUUUCUACAUCGUUUGCCUACAUCUGGGUUUUCCAUUUUUUGUUUUUAUGCAACCCCCCUCUCCCUGUCUACUUAUUCGAAAUAUCAGUGAUUUGUUUCUCAUCACAGCAGAUGAUCAGAUUUAAUCUACACCCCACCCUUUGACUGGAAGAAGCGUGCGUGAAACAGUGUUACAGAACCUGGACAGCUGAUACUAUUCAACUAAUUUCAUAAUCCAUAACUGCUCAGUAUUUACAAACUAUUGCCUGGUUGAGUACAGUCAGAUCCAAGCAAAUUUUACAAGUUAAUCUCAUGAGCUGAAAUUGACAGGAUCCAGGGACAUAACAUGUAUCCAAAUACAGACUUUGUGGUUCACUCUAUCAACGGUCUCCGAAUUUUGAUCAGGCAAAGAACUCGACCAUGUUGUUAGUCCAAGACUGUCAUUUUGAAGGGGUGGCACCUUGUCUUGAUGAAGAAUCCGGAUCAAGCUGGGCAUAAGAGGGAGACGUUUCCGGCUCCAGUAGGAUUUGCCUGAGAUGCUUGUCCUCGAGAUGUUCCUAGAAACAAUUAAAACAUGGAACGAUCAGCCAUUAGAUAAGCAAGAAACACGCAACAUUAAAUCACAAAAUUUAAACCUAAAUGACUGAAAUGCAAGAUACGACAGAUUGCUUAUGUCGUAGUGAAGAAAACAGGGUACUGGUGUAUGUUGAACACUCAUCGUGCGAUACAACAGUGCUUUGUGAAUGAAACCACUUUGUUGAACUCAAUUCCUGAACAAUCAUUCUUGUAACACACAGAUACUAUAUGGCAACAUGGACAACUGAAGAGGUAAAUAACACAGAUACAGACCGAAUUUUGAC